This 257-nucleotide ribosomal RNA is filed under the name uncultured bacterium. RNAcentral describes it as "partial 16S ribosomal RNA". It matches the Rfam family "Bacterial small subunit ribosomal RNA", at positions 524 to 776 of the family's 1533-position model. The record is from RNAcentral.
UACGUAGGGUGCGAGCGUUUGUCCGGAAUUACUGGGCGUAAAGAGCUCGUAGGCGGCUUGUCGCGUCGGUUGUGAAAGCCCGGGGCUUAACCCCCGGGUCUGCAGUCGAUACGGGGCAGGCUAGAGUUCGGUAGGGGAGAUCGGAAUUCCUGGUGUAGCGGUGAAAUGCGCAGAUAUCAGGAGGAACACCGGUGGCGAAGGCGGAUCUCUGGGCCGAUACUGACGCUGAGGAGCGAAAGCGUGGGGGGGCGAACAGG